This 1160-nucleotide ribosomal RNA is filed under the name Yersinia enterocolitica. Its description in RNAcentral is "partial 23S ribosomal RNA". It matches the Rfam family "Bacterial large subunit ribosomal RNA", at positions 1 to 1203 of the family's 2925-position model. Lineage: Bacteria; Pseudomonadati; Pseudomonadota; Gammaproteobacteria; Enterobacterales; Yersiniaceae. The record is from RNAcentral.
GGUUAAGCGACUAAGCGUACACGGUGGAUGCCUAGGCAGUCAGAGGCGAUGAAGGGCGUGCUAAUCUGCGAAAAGCGUCGGUAAGGUGAUAUGAACCGUUAUAACCGACGAUACCCGAAUGGGGAAACCCAGUGCAAUUCGUUGCACUAUUGCAUGGUGAAUACAUAGCCAUGCAAGGCGAACCGGGGGAACUGAAACAUCUAAGUACCCCGAGGAAAAGAAAUCAACCGAGAUUCCCCCAGUAGCGGCGAGCGAACGGGGAGGAGCCCAGAACCUGAAUCAGCGUAUGUGUUAGUGGAAGCGUCUGGAAAGUCGCACGGUACAGGGUGAUAGUCCCGUACACAAAAAUGCAUAUGUUGUGAGUUCGAUGAGUAGGGCGGGACACGUGACAUCCUGUCUGAAUAUGGGGGGACCAUCCUCCAAGGCUAAAUACUCCUGACUGACCGAUAGUGAACCAGUACCGUGAGGGAAAGGCGAAAAGAACCCCGGCGAGGGGAGUGAAACAGAACCUGAAACCGUGUACGUACAAGCAGUGGGAGCACCUUCGUGGUGUGACUGCGUACCUUUUGUAUAAUGGGUCAGCGACUUAUAUUUUGUAGCAAGGUUAACCGAAUAGGGGAGCCGUAGGGAAACCGAGUCUUAACUGGGCGAAUAGUUGCAAGGUAUAGACCCGAAACCCGGUGAUCUAGCCAUGGGCAGGUUGAAGGUUGGGUAACACUAACUGGAGGACCGAACCGACUAAUGUUGAAAAAUUAGCGGAUGACUUGUGGCUGGGGGUGAAAGGCCAAUCAAACCGGGAGAUAGCUGGUUCUCCCCGAAAGCUAUUUAGGUAGCGCCUCGUGAACUCAUCUUCGGGGGUAGAGCACUGUUUCGGCUAGGGGGUCAUCCCGACUUACCAAACCGAUGCAAACUCCGAAUACCGAAGAAUGUUAUCACGGGAGACACACGGCGGGUGCUAACGUCCGUCGUGAAGAGGGAAACAACCCAGACCGCCAGCUAAGGUCCCAAAGUCAUGGUUAAGUGGGAAACGAUGUGGGAAGGCACAGACAGCCAGGAUGUUGGCUUAGAAGCAGCCAUCAUUUAAAGAAAGCGUAAUAGCUCACUGGUCGAGUCGGCCUGCGCGGAAGAUGUAACGGGGCUAAACCAUGCACCGAAGCUGC